CGUGCCUCUUCAGGAAAGUAUAUCCCACAAAGCUUGUCACCAUUACACAAAUCAAGGCCACGGAGCCUUCAAAGAGGCCUUUACUCUGAGCAGCUCUUUGCAAGUCAAAAAUGCCUUUUGUGGUUUCCUGAAAUAAGAAUUGCAAGAAGUACCAGACUGAAAACUGCAUGGAGGGAGCAAAAGGCACAAAGGAAGCUGCACCACCUUCAACCCAAGAUGCUUAAUCCAAAGACGGUUAAAGAAAACUUGACUUCAGAGCUACCCUGUAAGUUCUUCUACUUUAAUUUUGAGGUGUCUGAGUUCCUGCAACAAACCCUGCAGAGGAAGAAGGAAAUGAAAGGAUCUUGAGGUGGAGGAGGAGUUAAGCAACAGAUGCGGGAGGAAUCAGGAAGAUAACACAGAAGAAAAAGUAAUUAUUUGAAAGUGUACCAGUUUGCUGGUCAGCUUCUUGGAUUUGGGUGUUUCAGUGAUACACACACACAAAAAUCCAGUUUAGAAAGCAAACCAAAGUCAAGUAUGAAAAUCCAUAUGAUAUUUCACCUAAACUCCCCAACCCUGUAGCAAAUAGCACUGAGUACUUUUUCAGGUAUCACGAGCGAAGUGCCUUUCUCUUAGUUUUCAGGGACAUUAAUAACUAAUAAGUUUUGUGGUUUCUCAGUCUUCUCAAGUGGAACAAAUUUGAGGAGCUUAAUCCAUCUUUCAAAGGAGAGAAAAAGAUUUCAGUGGAGAGAACAACAGAUGACGUGGCAAAUAAUUUUUUUAUUAUUUUCUUCAUUAGAGUUGCCAACAAUCCUCCUGUAACCUCAACUCUGCAGGAAAAUCAGAAGUCUUAGAGCUAGGGAACAGCUAGGGCAGGGCAGUAACAGCAUCCACAGUCAACUUUAAACAUUCACAAAGAUUCACCUAACUCAUACAAAAGAGUUCCACGCAUUUGAGUAUUUUCUAGCUCAGUGUUUAAGAUGAAAUCCAGAAAAGCUUUACAUCCAUUUUACUUUGUACAUAUUAUGCUCAAGCUGGAUCACAAUGUCUGAUGCUCAUCCUCUUUCACCAAGCAAACCUUUAAUGGACAUCAAUGAGGAUUAGGUUUGGUUUUUCACCAUCCCCUCCACCAGGUACCUCCCAGAGCAGCGCCAGCUGGGGAUGGGAACUGGCAGGACACACACAUCCAUCUCCCUCACUUUCUUUUAGCACCAAGCCUUGGUCUGUGCUCCUCUUGGGCAGGAGCUCAGUCAGCCCACGCCAGGGUCUGGAUGGAGAGGGGCAGCUCCAAGAGGAUGCAGAUCUCUGAGCACAAACUGGCAGCUGCUCUGCUUGUGGUGACAUGGGGGAGUCCAGAAACACUUCUGCUGCUGCCUUGCAAUUCUCUCUUUUGCCUUAUCAUUAAAAAAGGGGAAAGGGAAGCGUCCACAAACCCCACAGGACCAACUUGACGGUACAGAGAUGGCAGAAACCCUAAUCCCAGGGGAAUUCUAGCUUGUGCCUUUGCAAUUGUUUCCAGGUUCAAGGUAGAACAGGACUUUUUGAGAUUCUUUCCCAGCAUGAGCAUUCAUUAACACUCACUACAACACCUUGACUCAGAUGAGACAGCACACCAGACUCCCCAGAGGGAGUCAGUGCCUCACUGACUCAGGUUUCUUUGGAAUUGCAAGUAGCUUUGACUAGAUAUUUAAUUCAGAAGUUGCAAGAGCCUCAAAACACUUGCCAGCAGCUUACGGCCAAACCCACAGACUUAUCCCAUGCUACAAAAGGAAGAAGCAGGACAGACAGACAGUCUCUUUUGUCCACAUUCAGGUAGAACAGACAUCUGGGCAGCCAUAAAUCUCAUGACAAGGCUACUUCCUCAUACCUUGCUACAUUAAGAAAAACACAUUUUCAAAAUUUCUGAGGCUUCUCAGGCAAAAGAAAAGCCACACAACCCCUUCAGGUGAGAGUCCAGAAACCUUCAUAGCAUUACUGUGUCAAAAGUAGGACAUUAUUCCCCAGAAAAGGAAUUAAAGUGACAAAGCCAGGAGUGAGACAGUCCAUGUACAAGCAGCUAUUCUCCUGGCCCAUCUGCAAUAUAUAUAAAUAAAUGGCACUUUAUAUUUAGUAUGGACUUUUGAAGAGCCAGGGACAAGUGGCAUUCAGUGUGAAAUCAAUACCUUUGAGAAGAGGUUAGAGAUGCUUGAUAAACUCUUUGCUGCUCACUAAAACCAAACCUAAAUGACAGCUGCACAAGAUAAAGUGAAACCAAUCUUACACAUUAAAACUCACUCACAUUUAGAAGGAUGUCUUAAUUUGCUUUCUUUCCUCCCAGCCCAACCAGAAAAAUAAUGCUAUAGAUAAAUUCUAAGUGACUGGAAACAGCUGCUGUGAAAUAAGCCAACACAAAAUUAGAAUAGAGAGAAAACAUGGUUGAGCUGAAUGAUCCUGCAAUGCCACAUUAAUUUAAAACUUUUAAGCCCCAUUAUUAUAUUUAGAAAUAGUAGGGUCAGCCUUGAAGUAUCUGAGCAAGCUAUUUAAAAUUAUUUAACUACUGGAUGCCAAAACCAAGAGCAAACUACAGGUAGACUCUUUUUGUCAAAGGGUUUCUUCAUUAGAAAGAUGUAGUUGGGCAGUGGAAGCAAAGAGUUCAGGAAAACACUCAAAAUAUUACCAAAUUUAAGCAGCUGUAAUCUAAUAAUGUAAAGAACAUAAAAAAUUUCAUUUUGAUGUUUAAAAUCAUGUCUGUAUUGAAAAAUUAGUAUAAUUUACAGGAAAAGGAGCAGAAAUAGGGUCUAAGCAUUAGAAUUCAACUAAGCAUCUAAUUUGAUUGAAAGCAACUCGUGAUAAAUGGGAUUUAUGCUUAUUCAGGAGAAUCUGAAAUAAAUACACAAAUAACUCAACAAGAGAACCAAAAAUGCUGUUCUGUUUCCCACGCCUUUCCUUGCUUUGCACACACAAAUUUUGCAACUUUCAACGUGCCAGAAACCUAAUCACACCUUGGGAGAUAGUAAAUAAUUCAGCACACACUCAACACAACGAUUCUCAACUUCUCCAUCAGAUUAGAAUCCUUUUUUCCAUCUGAGCAGGAACGUGUCCUAUCACUUUGUAGCCCCACCAAGGCAUCCAGGCUGUUAAAGCUCAACUUUCCCACCCAAGGGGGCACACACCACACUGCAGCAGCAGCAGAACUUCACAGCUCACAGGACCAGACCUCCCAGGCACCCAAAAGUCCUGUCCAUAAAAAUGCACCCAAAA
This is a long non-coding RNA of Passer domesticus (house sparrow), 3219 nucleotides long. RefSeq lists it as uncharacterized. The record is from RefSeq and is a predicted model, not a curated record. NCBI's taxonomy places the organism in Eukaryota, Metazoa, Chordata, Aves, Passeriformes, Passeridae. The transcript has 3 exons.